UUGACCUCGGAUCAGGUAGGGAUACCCGCUGAACUUAAGCAUAUCAAUAAGCGGAGGAAAAGAAACCAACCGGGAUUGCCUCAGUAACGGCGAGUGAAGCGGCAAGAGCUCAAAUUUGAAAUCUGGCCCCUCCGGGGUCCGAGUUGUAAUUUGCAGAGGAUGCUUCGGGUGCGGCCCCUGUCUAAGUGCCCUGGAACGGGCCGUCAGAGAGGGUGAGAAUCCCGUCUUGGGCAGGGUGCCCGUGCCCGUGUGAAGCUCCUUCGACGAGUCGAGUUGUUUGGGAAUGCAGCUCAAAAUGGGUGGUAAAUUUCAUCUAAAGCUAAAUACCGGCCGGAGACCGAUAGCGCACAAGUAGAGUGAUCGAAAGAUGAAAAGCACUUUGAAAAGAGAGUUAAACAGCACGUGAAAUUGUUGAAAGGGAAGCGCUUGCAACCAGACUCGGCCUCGGGGUUCAGCCAGCAUUCGUGCUGGUGUACUUCCCCGGGGCCGGGCCAGCGUCGGUUUGGGCGGCCGGUCAAAGGCCCCAGGAAUGUAUCGUCCUCCGGGACGUCUUAUAGCCUGGGGUGCAAUGCGGCCAGCCUGGACCGAGGAACGCGCUUCGGCACGGACGCUGGCGUAAUGGUCGCAAACGACC
RNAcentral lists this ribosomal RNA (634 nucleotides) under Aspergillus sydowii. RNAcentral's name for it is "eukaryotic LSU rRNA". It matches the Rfam family "Eukaryotic large subunit ribosomal RNA", at positions 1 to 649 of the family's 3401-position model. Lineage: Eukaryota; Fungi; Ascomycota; Eurotiomycetes; Eurotiales; Aspergillaceae. The record is from RNAcentral.